CGCCUCCUCCGUGUGACCGCGCCCAUCCCCGGUAGUGCAGGUCAUCCCUCCGCCUCGUGCAGCCUCCUUUGCGCGACCGGAACCCCGCCGCCGCCUCCCUCCGUGGCCGCCCAACCGCCGCUGCCGGCCCCUUUGAUCCGGUGUAGCAGGACCCGCCGGCCCCCUCCGCCUGUUGCUGCCUCCUCUGUGCGACCGCAACCCCGGCGCCUCCUCCCUCCAUGGCCGCCCAACAUGCCGCUGCUGGCCCCAUUGAUCUCCUCCUCUCUCGUUCUUCUUCUUUUGGCCGGAGAGUGCACACUUGAGCUGACUCAGUUGAGUAAGUGUUAGUGCAUUGACCAUUGGAAGGAGGUGUUGGUGACUGGUGUUGCGACGCCUAGGCUCGCCCGCACGCGCCGACGCGGUGCGGUGAGGCUCUGUAUCUCCGUCUUCCAUGCUGGCUACAACGGCGGCGAAUAGGAUUUCUGGGACAGCGGCUGGUGAGCCGUGCCUUGCCUCGAUCAUCGAUUCGCUUGGGUGUAUUGUUCUGUUCCUCUAGCUCCUGGUGCAUUGCAGGGUGCCAUAGGAACAACCAGAGAUGCAUUGAUCAGCAAGGAAUACAAGGGUAGUGUAGAAGAGAUCUCAGAGGACCAAGGGGAGAGAGAGGAAUAAGAAGACAUGGCUGAUUUAAGCACAGAGGCACUAUCGGAGUACUAUGAGAUUGUCAGCAAGGUGUUUGGUAGCGAAGAUGAAGUUUUCCGGUUCUAUAACAAGUGUGUUUCAAUGACGCGGUUGGGGUGAUGAUAACUGGUUCAUCAGAGUUUAGCACUGCAGACCAGGAUCUUGUGUUCUAGAAUGUUUGAUUCAGUUUAUUAUAGUAUCUGAAUAUUUUAAGUUUAUACUGACUAGUUGGUCAUAUUCGUUUGUGCUAUCU
Long non-coding RNA from Panicum hallii, 910 nucleotides. RefSeq lists it as uncharacterized. The transcript is spliced from 4 exons. Lineage: Eukaryota; Viridiplantae; Streptophyta; Magnoliopsida; Poales; Poaceae. The record is from RefSeq and is a predicted model, not a curated record.